RNAcentral lists this ribosomal RNA (364 nucleotides) under uncultured Bacteroidota bacterium. RNAcentral describes it as "bacterial SSU rRNA". It matches the Rfam family "Bacterial small subunit ribosomal RNA", at positions 130 to 494 of the family's 1533-position model. The record is from RNAcentral. Lineage: Bacteria; Pseudomonadati; Bacteroidota.
CUCAUACUAGGGAAUAGCCCGAAGAAAUUUGGAUUAAUGCCCUAUAGUAUCUUUUUAAGGCAUCUUAUUAAGAUUAAAGGUUACGGUAUGAGAUGAGUAUGCGUUCUAUUAGCUAGUAGGUGUGGUAACGGCACACCUAGGCUACGAUAGAUAGGGGCCCUGAGAGGGGGAUCCCCCACACUGGUACUGAGACACGGACCAGACUCCUACGGGAGGCAGCAGUAAGGAAUAUUGGUCAAUGGACGAAAGUCUGAACCAGCCAUGCCGCGUGCAGGAUGACUGCCCUAUGGGUUGUAAACUGCUUUUAUAUAGGAAGAAAAACUUUCUCGUGAGAAAGCUUGACGGUACUAUAAGAAUAAGGAUC